Molecule: transfer RNA, 90 nt
Filed under: Pseudomonadota bacterium
Lineage: Bacteria; Pseudomonadati; Pseudomonadota
Also listed under: 2 other names
Description: tRNA-Ser
Rfam family: tRNA
About the family: Transfer RNA (tRNA) molecules are approximately 80 nucleotides in length. Their secondary structure includes four short double-helical elements and three loops (D, anti-codon, and T loops).
Source: RNAcentral
GGAGGGAUGGCUGAGUGGCCGAAAGCGGCGGUCUUGAAAACCGUUGGGCGUUUACGCGCCCCGUGGGUUCGAAUCCUACUCCCUCCGCCA